RNAcentral lists this ribosomal RNA (484 nucleotides) under uncultured bacterium. Its description in RNAcentral is "partial 16S ribosomal RNA". It matches the Rfam family "Bacterial small subunit ribosomal RNA", at positions 29 to 507 of the family's 1533-position model. The record is from RNAcentral.
AUUGAACGCUGGCGGAAUGCUUUACACAUGCAAGUCGAACGGCAGCGCGGGGGCAGCCCUGGUGGCGAGUGGCGAACGGGUGAGUAAUACAUCGGAACGUGCCCGGUCGUGGGGGAUAACGUAGCGAAAGUUACGCUAAUACCGCAUACGAUCUGAGGAUGAAAGCGGGGGACCUUCGGGCCUCGCGCGAUCGGAGCGGCCGAUGUCAGAUUAGGUAGUUGGUGGGGUAAAGGCCUACCAAGCCGACGAUCUGUAGCUGGUCUGAGAGGACGACCAGCCACACUGGGACUGAGACACGGCCCAGACUCCUACGGGAGGCAGCAGUGGGGAAUUUUGGACAAUGGGCGCAAGCCUGAUCCAGCCAUUCCGCGUGCAGGACGAAGGCCUUCGGGUUGUAGACUGCUUUUGUACGGAACGAAAAGGCUCUGGCUAAUACCUGGGGCUCAUGACGGUACCGUAAGAAUAAGCACCGGCUAACUACGUG